CCUACGGGAGGCAGCAGUGAGGAAUAUUGGUCAAUGGACGAGAGUCUGAACCAGCCAAGUAGCGUGAAGGAUGACUGCCCUAUGGGUUGUAAACUUCUUUUAUAAAGGAAUAAAACGAGGCACGUGCGCCUUUUUGCAUGUACUUUAUGAAUAAGGAUCGGCUAACUCCGUGCCAGCAGCCGCGGUAAUACGGAGGAUCCGAGCGUUAUCCGGAUUGAUUGGGUGUAAAGGGAGCGUAGGUGGGUUGUUAAGUCAGUUGUGAAAGUUUGCGGCUCAACCGUAAAAUUGCAAUUGAUACUGGCAGUCUUGAGUACAGUUGAGGUAAGCGGAAUUCGUGGUGUAGCGGUGAAAUGCUUAGAUAUCACGAAGAACCCCGAUUGCGAAGGCAGCUUACUAAACUGUGACUGACAUUGAUGCUCGAAAGUGUGGGUAUCAAACAGGAUUAGAUACCCUUGUAGUC
This 460-nucleotide ribosomal RNA is filed under the name uncultured bacterium. RNAcentral describes it as "partial 16S ribosomal RNA". It matches the Rfam family "Bacterial small subunit ribosomal RNA", at positions 338 to 795 of the family's 1533-position model. The record is from RNAcentral.